RNAcentral lists this ribosomal RNA (819 nucleotides) under uncultured eukaryote. RNAcentral describes it as "SSU rRNA". It matches the Rfam family "Eukaryotic small subunit ribosomal RNA", at positions 629 to 1426 of the family's 1831-position model. The record is from RNAcentral.
CGGUGUUUAACUGGCGUGAUGUGGGACGUCCUACCGGUGGGCUUAGCCUCGCGAGGGGCGGCCCAACUAAUAUCCCGUCGCGGUGCUCUUUACUGAGUGUCGAGUCGGGCCGGUACGUUUACUUUGAACAAAUUAGAGUGCUUAAAGCAGGCUAUCCUCGCCUGAAUACUGCGUGCAUGGAAUAAUGGAAUAGGACCUCGGUUCUAUUUUGUUGGUUUUCGGAACCCCGAGGUAAUGAUUAAUAGGGACAGAUGGGGGCAUUCGUAUUGCGACGUUAGAGGUGAAAUUCUUGGAUCGUCGCAAGACGGACAGAAGCGAAAGCAUUUGCCAAAAAUGUUUUCAUUAAUCAAGAACGAAAGUUAGAGGUUCGAAGGCGAUCAGAUACCGCCCUAGUUCUAACCAUAAACGAUGCCAGCUAGCGAUCCGCCGAAGUUCCUCCGAUGACUCGGCGGGCAGCUUCCGGGAAACCAAAGCUUUUGGGUUCCGGGGGAAGUAUGGUUGCAAAGCUGAAACUUAAAGGAAUUGACGGAAGGGCACCACCAGGAGUGGAGCCUGCGGCUUAAUUUGACUCAACACGGGAAACCUCACCAGGCCCAGACACCGGAAGGAUUGACAGAUUGAUAGCUCUUUCUUGAUUCGGUGGGUGGUGGUGCAUGGCCGUUCUUAGUUGGUGGAGCGAUUUGUCUGGUUAAUUCCGAUAACGAACGAGACUCUAGCCUGCUAAAUAGGCGUACCUUAUGGUAUCGCGAAGGCCCCCGGCUUCGGCCGGUGGGUUUUUAUUACCAACGUACAAACAAAUCUUCUUAGAGGGACAGGCGG